Molecule: long non-coding RNA, 626 nt
Organism: Xenopus laevis (African clawed frog)
Lineage: Eukaryota; Metazoa; Chordata; Amphibia; Anura; Pipidae
Exons: 3
Source: RefSeq, a predicted model, not a curated record
GUGACUGUGGGAUAGCAGGUAUAGUAGGGAGAGAUGGUGUCUAUAGUAACAGUGGAUAAUAGUCUCUGGGAAGUCUCCAGCAUUGUUGAGAGACUUCAGGGAACCAACUAUGCAAUUUGCUUGGAGUAUGGAACCAGAAAAACAUCGUUUUAUACAGACUUUCUUGCUGCCUAACACAUAACACAUUUCUCCUUGCAGUUCUCCCAUAUGUCUUCCCAAAUUUAUAAUGAUAUUUUUUGAGAAAGAGUCUCGUCCCAUUUCAGCAUAUACUUGUGUUUAGGGAAUAGAUCCAUUGGUAAAUCUGUUAAAAGCAUAUAAAUUGUAGAGAUCAGAGCUCUUUGUGGGAGACCAGCCUGACAUAAUCGCUCAAAUCUCGUGAAUGUGGUUGCCCUUGGCUAGAUGGAAUCGUCUGACAGAAAUGGACAAUUUGCAGAAAAACCUGUGAUGACGUCGGCAGUGGAGCUCACGGAUGAUCUAGUCAAAGAAUAUCUCACGUUCAGGGGAUUCACCAACACUUUAAAGUACUUUGAGGCCGACAUCAAAGCAGACAAAGAUAAAGGAUUCCGUCCCACUUCUGAUGACGUCACUUCUCGUUUCCAGCAACGGCACUUCCUGCUUUAUGGUGG